This 729-nucleotide ribosomal RNA is filed under the name uncultured Staphylococcus sp. RNAcentral's name for it is "bacterial SSU rRNA". It matches the Rfam family "Bacterial small subunit ribosomal RNA", at positions 63 to 774 of the family's 1533-position model. Lineage: Bacteria; Bacillati; Bacillota; Bacilli; Caryophanales; Staphylococcaceae. The record is from RNAcentral.
CGAGCGAACGGACGAGAAGCUUGCUUCUCCGAUGUUAGCGGCGGACGGGUGAGUAACACGUGGAUAACCUACCUAUAAGACUGGGAUAACUUCGGGAAACCGGAGCUAAUACCGGAUAAUAUUUUGAACCGCAUGGUUCAAAAGUGAAAGACGGUCUUGCUGUCACUUAUAGAUGGAUCCGCGCUGCAUUAGCUAGUUGGUAAGGUAACGGCUUACCAAGGCAACGAUGCAUAGCCGACCUGAGAGGGUGAUCGGCCACACUGGAACUGAGACACGGUCCAGACUCCUACGGGAGGCAGCAGUAGGGAAUCUUCCGCAAUGGGCGAAAGCCUGACGGAGCAACGCCGCGUGAGUGAUGAAGGUCUUCGGAUCGUAAAACUCUGUUAUUAGGGAAGAACAUAUGUGUAAGUAACUGUGCACAUCUUGACGGUACCUAAUCAGAAAGCCACGGCUAACUACGUGCCAGCAGCCGCGGUAAUACGUAGGUGGCAAGCGUUAUCCGGAAUUAUUGGGCGUAAAGCGCGCGUAGGCGGUUUUUUAAGUCUGAUGUGAAAGCCCACGGCUCAACCGUGGAGGGUCAUUGGAAACUGGAAAACUUGAGUGCAGAAGAGGAAAGUGGAAUUCCAUGUGUAGCGGUGAAAUGCGCAGAGAUAUGGAGGAACACCAGUGGCGAAGGCGACUUUCUGGUCUGUAACUGACGCUGAUGUGCGAAAGCGUGGGGAUCAAACA